GUGUCUUCCAAAGUGACUGUACCAUUUUGCAUUCCCACCGGCAGUGAAUGAGAGUUCCUGUUGCUUCACAUCUUCGUGAGAAUUUGGUGUUAUCAGUGUUUUGGAUUUUGACCAAAUGGGUCUGCUUGGACCCCACGGGGAGCCAGUCUUGACUUUGAGCAAGCUCUGCUUACCUUCCACACCAGAGUUGCAUACUUGGAGAGCAAUCGGGAUUCAUGAAUUUCUCCACAUAUUCAGAACGCCCUAAGAGCUCCACAAAAUCUUCAUCAUGAGUGAUCACCAGAAGCUGGAAGUUACGCUGCUGUGGUUCCCUAGGCUCUUGAGAUACCUGCCUUUUGUCCGGCACUGCAUCGUCCUCGCAUAUCCAAGGGCGUGUCUCCCUUUAGCAUCACCACUCGGUAGUUGUAAUUCCGCCUUUUAUCAGAAGCUGAUACAUUUUCAUCGGCAUCAGAUCGAAUUUCUAUGUAUUCAAUAUCUGACACAGAAAGAAGAAGAUUUUAGGGGAACCUACACUC
Eubalaena glacialis (North Atlantic right whale) is the source of this 515-nucleotide long non-coding RNA. RefSeq lists it as uncharacterized. The record is from RefSeq and is a predicted model, not a curated record. The transcript is spliced from 4 exons. NCBI's taxonomy places the organism in Eukaryota, Metazoa, Chordata, Mammalia, Artiodactyla, Balaenidae.